UACGUAGGGUGCGAGCGUUAAUCGGAAUUACUGGGCGUAAAGCGUGCGCAGGCGGGCUUUUAAGCCAGACGUGAAAUCCCCGGGCUUAACCUGGGAAUGGCGUUUGGGACUGGGAGUCUGGAGUGCGGCAGAGGAGACUGGAAUUCCUGGUGUAGCAGUGAAAUGCGUAGAUAUCAGGAGGAACACCGGUGGCGAAGGCGGGUCUCUGGGCAGUAACUGACGCUGAGAAGCGAAAGCGUGGGUAGCGAACAGG
RNAcentral lists this ribosomal RNA (253 nucleotides) under uncultured bacterium. RNAcentral's name for it is "partial 16S ribosomal RNA". It matches the Rfam family "Bacterial small subunit ribosomal RNA", at positions 524 to 776 of the family's 1533-position model. The record is from RNAcentral.